Molecule: long non-coding RNA, 483 nt
Filed under: Ailuropoda melanoleuca (giant panda)
Lineage: Eukaryota; Metazoa; Chordata; Mammalia; Carnivora; Ursidae
Description: lncRNA (ENSAMEG00000023859.1)
Source: RNAcentral
UUAUGCCUGCUUGGUCUGCUGUCCCCUCUCCUGCCCAGAAUCACAAGACUCCCCCUUCCCUUAUCUGAGUGGCUCAAGAGCAGUUCUCCAAGGGGAUUUUGGGCUGACUGAUGAAUAAAAGAAGGCUGGAAUGCUGGUGUGGUGAGUCAUCACCCACGUCUUGGCUGCUGUGUCUCCCAGAAGGCUUGAGAUUUCUUGCAUGGCCAUGACUUGAAAGUCUAGAAAUGAGAUCCACAGCAUAUUUUUCUUAGAGCAAUAGAGGCUUUUGCAAUAUGUAAAAAGUGACAUUUGAUCCGAAGGAGUCUGGAGGGAGCCUCCGAGUGCGGAGAACUGACCUUUAGUAACCACCUACCCAGAGCCCCGGCUGGGGAAGCGCGAGCAGAGCCUCCAGGAAGGAUGUCUGGUGCCCUCCACAGGUCAGUUCACAACGGGAGUCUUGGUGACGGCCCGCAGCUGUGUGUGUGUGCCUGAGCUCGCCCCCCU